RNAcentral lists this ribosomal RNA (381 nucleotides) under uncultured eukaryote. Its description in RNAcentral is "partial 18S ribosomal RNA". It matches the Rfam family "Eukaryotic small subunit ribosomal RNA", at positions 592 to 976 of the family's 1831-position model. The record is from RNAcentral.
CAAUAGCGUAUAUUAAAGUUGUUGCGGUAAAAAAGCUCGUAGUUGGAUUUCUACCGAAGAUAGCCGGUCGGGUCUUCGACCUUGUAUCUGGUUUUGUCUUUGGUAUCCUCAUAGGGAACGUUUCUGCGCUUUAUUGCGUGGUGCGGUAUCUAUGACUUUUACUUUGAGGAAAUUAGAGUGUUCACGGCAGGCAAACGCCUUGAAUAUAUUAGCAUGGAAUAAUAACAUAGGAUCUUCGUCCUAUUUUGUUGGUUUCUAGGGCUAAGAUAAUGAUUAAUAGGGAUAAUUGGAGGCAUCUGUAUCAACGCGUCAGAGGUGGAAUUCUUGGAUUGCGUUGCGACAAACUACUGCGAAAGCAUUUGCCAAGGAUGUUUUCAUUGA